This 253-nucleotide ribosomal RNA is filed under the name uncultured prokaryote. RNAcentral describes it as "partial 16S ribosomal RNA". It matches the Rfam family "Bacterial small subunit ribosomal RNA", at positions 525 to 777 of the family's 1533-position model. The record is from RNAcentral.
ACGGGGGGGGUAAGCGUUGUUCGGAAUUACUGGGCGUAAAGGGCUCGUAGGCGGCCAACUAAGUCAGACGUGAAAUCCCUCGGCUUAACCGGGGAACUGCGUCUGAUACUGGAUGGCUUGAGUUCGGGAGAGGGAUGCGGAGUUCCAGGUGUAGCGGUGAAAUGCGUAGAUAUCUGGAGGAACACCGGUGGCGAAGGCGGCAUCCUGGACCGACACUGACACUGAGGAGCGAAAGCCAGGGGAGCAAACGGGA